Molecule: unclassified non-coding RNA, 271 nt
Filed under: Hevea brasiliensis (rubber tree)
Lineage: Eukaryota; Viridiplantae; Streptophyta; Magnoliopsida; Malpighiales; Euphorbiaceae
Source: RNAcentral
CGCACCGCCGAGGAGAGCCAUGUCGUCUGCCUUCGAAGCUCGCGUCUCUCUUGUCUUCGCCCUCGUUUCUCAGGCCUCCAAUGUCUCUCAGCGACUUUUGGUCGAUUUGACGAAUGAAACUGCGAAAUACGUGUUCCCGAAGAGGUUCGAGAGCCGGAAUUUGGAGGAAGCACUGAUGGCCGUUCCUGAUCUUGAAACGGUGGAGUAUAAAGUAUUGAGUAGAAGAGACCAGUAUGAAAUCAGAGAAGUUGAGCCUUACUUUAUAGCGGAG